UGCCUCAAAUCAGGAGGACUGCNGCUGAACUUAAGCAUAUCAAUAAGCGGAGAC
Molecule: ribosomal RNA, 54 nt
Filed under: Pseudotrichaptum laricinum
Lineage: Eukaryota; Fungi; Basidiomycota; Agaricomycetes; Hymenochaetales; Trichaptaceae
Description: Trichaptum laricinum partial 28S ribosomal RNA
Source: RNAcentral